This 418-nucleotide ribosomal RNA is filed under the name uncultured bacterium. RNAcentral describes it as "bacterial SSU rRNA". It matches the Rfam family "Bacterial small subunit ribosomal RNA", at positions 355 to 775 of the family's 1533-position model. The record is from RNAcentral.
UGAGGAAUCUUGCGCAAUGGGCGAAAGCCUGACGCAGCGAUGCCGCGUGAGGGAUGAAGGCCUUCGGGUUGUAAACCUCUUUCGACAGGGAAGAAGCCGGGAGUCAUCCCGGUGACGGUACCUGUAUAAGAAGCCCCGGCUAACUACGUGCCAGCAGCCGCGGUAAAACGUAGGGGGCGAGCGUUGCCCGGAUUCACUGGGCGUAAAGCGGGUGUAGGCGGUCCGAUAAGUCGGGUGUGAAAUCUCCAAGCUCAACUUGGAAACUGCACCCGAUACUGCCGGACUUGAGGACGGUAGAGGUCGGUGGAAUGCGCAGUGUACCGGUGAAAUGGACAGAUAUUGCGCGGAACACCAGUGGCGAAGGCGGCCGACUGGGCCGAUCCUGACGCUGAGACCCGAAAGCCAGGGUAGCGAACCG